This 253-nucleotide ribosomal RNA is filed under the name uncultured bacterium. RNAcentral's name for it is "partial 16S ribosomal RNA". It matches the Rfam family "Bacterial small subunit ribosomal RNA", at positions 524 to 776 of the family's 1533-position model. The record is from RNAcentral.
GACAGAGGUGGCAAGCGUUGUUCGGAUUUAUUGGGUGUAAAGGGCAGGUAGGCGGUCGGGCAAGUCUGAUGUGAAAUCCCAUGGCUCAACCGUGGAACUGCAUUGGAAACUGCCUGACUUGAGUACCGGAGAGGUGAAGGGAAUUCUCGGUGUAAGGGUGAAAUCUGUAGAUAUCGAGAGGAACACCAGUGGCGAAGGCGCUUCACUGGCCGGUUACUGACGCUGAGCUGCGAAAGCAAGGGGAGCAAACAGG